AGGUUAUCCGGGUUUAAACUAAACAAAAAUAAAACAAAGGUGCUGAUAAAAAAUGUAGACGAACAAUCAAAAAAUAAAAUCGAGCUGGAAUCCGGGAUAAAGGUAUCGAAAAAGGUUAAAUAUCUGGGUAUCUGGAUUACCCCAAAAAGUAUAAACCUGGUGGAAGAUAACUAUAACAAAACCUGGAGAGAAUGUAAAAGGGAUUUAGACAGCUGGAGCAGACUACAACUUUCAUGGGAAGGGAGAAUGGCUGCUAUCAAAAUGAAUAUCCUGCCGAAAAUGAUAUUCCUAUUCCAAAAUAUCCCAGUAAUCAGGGGCACAACAAUGUUCAAAGACUGGCAGAAAACCUUGUCCAGGUUCAUCUGGCAAGGUAAAAGGGCCAGAAUUAAGUAUAAGCUGCUCACUGAUAGAAGAGACAGAGGAGGGUUUGCAGUACCGAACCUACAGUUAUAUUAUGAGGCCUCAUGCCUCUGCUGGAUCAAGGAAUGGAUAGUCUUAGAAAACACCGACUUAUUGGAUUUAGAGGGAUUUGACACUAGGUUUGGGUGGCACGCAUACCUGUGGCAGGAUAAAGGGAGAGUGCAUAAAGGAUUUUCUAAUCAUAUAAUAAGAGGAGCGCUGCUGGAGGUAUGGAACAGGUGUAAAAGAUUAGUAGAAAAAGACACCCCAUGGUGGCUGUCACCCAUCGAUAUCCUAGUAAUUAAGAAACUAAACAUGGAAGGUAAGAGGUGGACAUACGCUGAUCUUCUGAGAAGAUCAGACAAAGGCUGGGAAAUUAGACCCUAUGAGGAACUAAAAGACAAACUAACGGGGUGGAUGCAAUACCAUCAAAUCAAUGCCGUCUGGAGGGAACAUAAAAAAGUCGGAAUGAGUAAGAAUAAAUCCAAGUUCCAGCUAGAAAUAAUAGAAGGGAAAUCUAAACUGCUAACUAAAAUGUACAACCAACUAUUAGAUUGGGAUACAAUGGACGAGGAAAUCAAAGAAGUUAUGGUUAAGUGGGCCAUAGACCUAGGACACCCCAUAGAAUAUGAAAGAUGGACAAAACUUUGGAAUAAAGAUAUGAAAUUUUCAGCCUGUGUCAAACUUCGGGAAAAUAUGGAAAAGAUGAUGUACCGGUGGUACAUCACCCCAACAAAAUUAGC
Molecule: long non-coding RNA, 1142 nt
Filed under: Podarcis muralis (Common wall lizard)
Lineage: Eukaryota; Metazoa; Chordata; Lepidosauria; Squamata; Lacertidae
Description: lncRNA (ENSPMRG00000012954.1)
Source: RNAcentral